CCCUAGCCCUGAUAGUAGCGGUAUCUUUUAUACCUGACAGGUUUUUAAAACCUGUCAGGUAUAAAAAUAAAGCGGAUAGCAGGAAAUGGC
This 90-nucleotide small RNA is filed under the name Flavobacterium swingsii. RNAcentral describes it as "Flavo-1 RNA". It matches the Rfam family "Flavo-1 RNA". Lineage: Bacteria; Pseudomonadati; Bacteroidota; Flavobacteriia; Flavobacteriales; Flavobacteriaceae. The record is from RNAcentral.